GGAAUAUUGGACAAUAGCCGGGAGGCUGAUCCAGCCAUGCCGCGUGCGGGAAGACGGCCCUAUGGGUUGUAAACCGCUUUUGUCGGGGAGCAAUAAGUAGUACGCGUACUACGAUGAGAGUACCUGGCGAAUAAGCAUCGGCUAACUCCGUGCCAGCAGCCGCGGUAAUACGGAGGAUGCGAGCGUUAUCCGGAUUUAUUGGGUUUAAAGGGUGCGUAGGCGGCUUGUUAAGCGUGAGGUGAAAUGCCCGGGCUCAACCUGGGGACUGCCUCGCGAACUGGCUGGCUUGAAUGCUCCUGCCGUGGGAGGAAUGUGUGGUGUAGCGGUGAAAUGCAUAGAGAUCACACAGAACACCGAUUGCGAAGGCAUCUCACGAAGGGGUGAUUGACGCUGAGGCACGAAAGCGUGGGGAUCAAACA
This 419-nucleotide ribosomal RNA is filed under the name uncultured bacterium. Its description in RNAcentral is "bacterial SSU rRNA". It matches the Rfam family "Bacterial small subunit ribosomal RNA", at positions 358 to 774 of the family's 1533-position model. The record is from RNAcentral.